UACGUAGGGUGCAAGCGUUGUCCGGAAUUAUUGGGCGUAAAGAGCUCGUAGGCGGUUUGUCACGUCUGCUGUGAAAAUCCAAGGCUCAACCUUGGACUUGCAGUGGGUACGGGCAGGCUAGAGUGCGGUAGGGGAGAUGGGAAUUCCUGGUGUAGCGGUGGAAUGCGCAGAUAUCAGGAGGAACACCAAUGGCGAAGGCACAUCUCUGGGCCGUAACUGACGCUGAGGAGCGAAAGCGUGGGGAGCGAACAGGAUUAGAUACCCUGGUAGUCCACGCCGUAAACGGUGGGUGCUAGCUGUGGGCCACAUUCCACGUGGUCCGUGACGAAGUUAACACAUUAAGCACCCCGCCUGGGGAGUACGGCCGCAAGGCUAAAACUCAAAGGAAUUGACGGGGGCCCGCACAAGCGGCGGAGCAUGCGGAUUAAUUCGAUGCAACGCGAAGAACCUUACCAAGGCUUGACAUAUAGAGGAAAAGUGCAGAGAUGCACUCCCCGCAAGGUCUCUAUACAGGUGGUGCAUGGUUGUCGUCAGCUCGUGUCGUGAGAUGUUGGGUUAAGUCCCGCAACGAGCGCAACCCUCGUCCUAUGUUGCCAGCACGUUAUGGUGGGAACUCAUGGGAUACUGCCGGGGUCAACUCGGAGGAAGGUGGGGAUGACGUCAAAUCAUCAUGCCCCUUAUGUCUUGGGCUUCACGCAUGCUACAAUGGCCGGUACAGAGGGCAGCAAUACCGCAAGGUGGAGCGAAUCCCAAAAAGCCGGUCUCAGUUCGGAUUGAGGUCUGCAACUCGACCUCAUGAAGUCGGAGUCGCUAGUAAUCGUAGAUCAGCAACGCUACGGUGAAUACGUUCCCGGGCCU
RNAcentral lists this ribosomal RNA (858 nucleotides) under uncultured bacterium. RNAcentral describes it as "bacterial SSU rRNA". It matches the Rfam family "Bacterial small subunit ribosomal RNA", at positions 524 to 1381 of the family's 1533-position model. The record is from RNAcentral.